RNAcentral lists this ribosomal RNA (397 nucleotides) under uncultured bacterium. Its description in RNAcentral is "bacterial SSU rRNA". It matches the Rfam family "Bacterial small subunit ribosomal RNA", at positions 114 to 507 of the family's 1533-position model. The record is from RNAcentral.
CGCGUAUCCAACCUUCCCGCAAGUAAGGGAUAACCCGUAGAAAUGCGGCCUAAUACCUUAUGUUUUCCUUAGAGGGCAUCUGAUGAGGAACAAAGAUCCGUCGCUUGCAGAUGGGGAUGCGUCUGAUUAGUUAGUCGGCGGGGUAACGGCCCACCGAGACGACGAUCAGUAGGGGUUCUGAGAGGAAAAGUCCCCCCACAUUGGAACUGAGACACGGUCCAAACUCCUACGGGAGGCAGCAGUGAGGAAUAUUGGUCAAUGGGCGGAAGCCUGAACCAGCCAAGUAGCGUGCAGGACGACGGCCCUAUGGGUUGUAAACUGCUUUUAUGCGGGGAUAAAGUGGGCCACGCGUGGCCUUUUGCAGGUACCGCAUGAAUAAGGACCGGCUAAUUCCGUG